Coffea arabica (coffee) is the source of this 2251-nucleotide long non-coding RNA. RefSeq lists it as uncharacterized. NCBI's taxonomy places the organism in Eukaryota, Viridiplantae, Streptophyta, Magnoliopsida, Gentianales, Rubiaceae. The record is from RefSeq and is a predicted model, not a curated record.
UAUUUUAUUUCUCUGAUUUUUCUCGUAAUUACCAUACUAAUGAUACUACAGAUCAAGUUUCUCUCUAGUUAUAGAGAAACUUCACCACGUAGUGAAUGACUGGAGAUCAGAUCAGAACUGCCCAACUCGAUGUACAGUUGAGAUCGAGUCGGCCGGAGUGAUUUUCAAGUCGAGCCCAGCUACUCCGGUCCGAUCUCCAGCCACCCCUACUCUUUGCGGUUUCCUCUGCAACAGUAGAGGAUCUCAAUCUUGACACUGCACGGUGCAUCACAUCAAUUAGCAUUGUUUUCAAUCUUUUGUUUUAUUAUUUUUUUUCUUUUUUUCCCAUUUCGGUGUGAGUUGUUAUGCCAUGCACUUUGUUUUCGUCAUCUCUCUAACAUGGAUAAUAGGAGUUUCGUGGUGCAGUUGAAUUUGCCAAGCUUUAAAGAACGGUUCACUAUCUCUUCUGUGUGUGUGAACAGGUUGGAUACUUUAGCUUGUUACAAAUUUGUAUAUAUAAUCAGACAUCUUAUCUUUGAUUCUUUUUUCCGGGUUUUAUGGGAAGAUGCCAUACAAGAUGCCAAGCCCUUGGUGAGUCGUUUGGUCUGCUUUGCUUAGAAUUUAGAUCAGCAAAAGAGGCUUUUAAUGGAUGCAUGGUUAGAUAGACAGAGGGUGGAGGAUGUGUUCAGACUUGAGCUACUCCACCUUCCACUGACCUUUCUUGUUUUGGUGCCAAGAUUUCUUGCUUGUCUGAAGAGUUACGGACGUACGUUACAAAGAAAAUAUUAAUGAUCAGGCUUUGGAUUUUAGCUAUUUUAGAAAUUGAUGGAAGUGAUGUAGUAAUAAAUAUUUAGCUGUCAAUCUUAUGGUAGGAAAUCAACGUCACACUUUUAGUUACAUGUGUUGCUCUAUGACGUGGUAGUUGAGAUUGUGUGUACAUGUGUUACUCUAUGACAUGGCCGACUAUGUGUAAUUACACACAAUCUCAACUGCCAUGUCAUAUAAUUAGACCUGCCACAAUCAUUUUCUACCAUCGAACAGAUCCAAAAGGUUGAUAGCCAAAUAUUUAUUACACCACUCCCAUCAAUUUCUAAAAUGACUAAAUCCAGAGUAUGUCCAUUAAAAAGAAUUAAAAUAAGAUGGUUACAUAACCAGGUGGAUGCGUAAAAGCACAAGUUGGCAAGCUAGGUGAUAAGGACUUUGACAGGAUUUUCUUGGUUGAAUCCAAACAAUGAGUUCUCACGUAAUGCGCUACAUUUGUUGUGAUUCAAUGCACUUAAAGGUGUAUAGCAUGCUAAGUGCUGGAAAUCUGAUACUGUAUGGGGACAUGGUUCAAUGGUGAGCCUCAAUGGCGUGUUGUAGGUGACACAUUUCCGCUGGGAUGCACUUUUUAGCGAGGUCAUUGUUCAUGGCCAGGCGAUAAUUCUCAUAAUUCAAUUCAAGCUUCCUUGUCUUAUCUAAUACUGUACAAUUUUCUGAAUAACCAACCACUCUUCUAUCGCAAAUUUUGCUGAGUUUUUCAAGGAAAAUCCGGACUACAAGAAUCCCAACUUCAACACUAACUUGGGAAUCUACACUGAGAAUUGUGGACUGGACAAUGUCACCAUGUCCUAGGGUCAUGAUGAGUACAUGUAGUUGGUAAUCCAGGACAUCAUAAAACCAUGUGUCGGCUUAUAAAUCUUGGUCAUGUGAUCCUUUACAUUAGAGUUAAUAGUAUGCUUUUUGUAAGUAUUCCCUUUAAAUUUUGUUGGAUAAAUGCACAGGAUGUGAAAGGGAAUAACUGUACUCUGCCUCCUGCUGCCCUCUUCUUCAUUAUCCGAUUCCAUUAGUUCUAUGCUCUGCAUAACGGUGAAGACUACGGAUAGUUGAUGAAUGAAGAGGAGAAAGAGACGCUGAAAUGGCUUCAUGUGUUCAACCAGUACGACCUUUACAGCAAUGAGCAAAGCGAAGAUCAACCUGGAAGAGGUCAAGCCGUAUUAUCUCUCCCUCAUUGAAAAGUACUUUCCAGCUAAACUCAAGUGGUGAAGGAUAAGUUGGGGAUGGAUUGACAAAGCUUUAAGCAAAUAAGGGUCGUGCGAUUGUUAGUGGUGGAUGCUGGGAUAGACGUUCCAUGUAAUUUGACUUAAUGUGAUACAAAUACGUGGUGUUUAGGGCUUAGGGCUGUCAACGGGCCGGGACCGGGCCAGAAUUCAUUAUUCUGGACCCGGACCCGAAUCACUAUACCGGACCCGGAUCCGACCCGUUUACCCGACGGGUCUUUUAUUCUAUGUUC